GUUAGUGGUGUUAGUGGUGAGGGU
This 24-nucleotide small nuclear RNA is filed under the name Arabidopsis thaliana (thale cress). RNAcentral's name for it is "snRNA_15699". Lineage: Eukaryota; Viridiplantae; Streptophyta; Magnoliopsida; Brassicales; Brassicaceae. The record is from RNAcentral.